GGCGGUAACUUACCUAACCAGAGGAACUUGCCCUGUAAUCGAUAGCCCUCGUUUUAUCUAACUUAAAUUAGUAGUCAGUUUGUAUACCGCCGUCUGCAGGAAAUAUUUGGAAGUUAUUUUCUGGAAAUCAAAAAUUGGAUGUCAGGUCAAGGUGCAACUUAUAUUUAAGGGAGAGGUGAGUUACAAUAAAAUAAAUUACACGGACCUUAAAUGAAAAUUAAAGAGAAGGUGGAUU
This 235-nucleotide ribosomal RNA is filed under the name Hyrtanella pascalae. Its description in RNAcentral is "partial 12S ribosomal RNA". The record is from RNAcentral. Lineage: Eukaryota; Metazoa; Arthropoda; Insecta; Ephemeroptera; Ephemerellidae.